RNAcentral lists this transfer RNA (84 nucleotides) under Campylobacterales bacterium. Its description in RNAcentral is "tRNA-Leu". It matches the Rfam family "tRNA". Rfam says of the family: Transfer RNA (tRNA) molecules are approximately 80 nucleotides in length. Their secondary structure includes four short double-helical elements and three loops (D, anti-codon, and T loops). Lineage: Bacteria; Pseudomonadati; Campylobacterota; Epsilonproteobacteria; Campylobacterales. The record is from RNAcentral.
GCGUCAGUGGUGGAACGGUAGACACGCUACCUUGAGGGGGUAGUGCCAAUAGGUGUGGAGGUUCAAAUCCUCUCUGACGCACCA